UACGAAGGGGGCUAGCGUUGCUCGGAAUUACUGGGCGUAAAGCGCACGUAGGCGGAUUUGUUAGUCAGGGGUGAAAUCCCGAGGCUCAACCUCGGAACUGCCUUUGAUACUGCAAAUCUCGAGUCCGGAAGAGGUGAGUGGAAUUCCUAGUGUAGAGGUGAAAUUCGUAGAUAUUAGGAAGAACACCAGUGGCGAAGGCGGCUCACUGGUCCGGUACUGACGCUGAGGUGCGAAAGCGUGGGGAGCAAACAGG
Molecule: ribosomal RNA, 253 nt
Filed under: uncultured bacterium
Lineage: Bacteria
Description: partial 16S ribosomal RNA
Rfam family: Bacterial small subunit ribosomal RNA
Source: RNAcentral